UACAGAGGGUGCGAGCGUUAUUCGGAAUUACUGGGCGUAAAGCGCCCGUAGUCGGCUUUGCAAGUCGGGUGUGAAAUCCCCGGGCUCAACCUGGGAACUGCAUCCGAGACUGCAUUGCUAGAGUAUGGGAGAGGGAAGCGGAAUUUCUGGUGUAGCAGUGAAAUGCGUAGAUAUCAGAAGGAACAUCAGUGGCGAAGGCGGCUUCCUGGACCAAUACUGACGAUCAGGUGCGAAAGCGUGGGGAGCAAACAGG
RNAcentral lists this ribosomal RNA (253 nucleotides) under uncultured bacterium. RNAcentral describes it as "partial 16S ribosomal RNA". It matches the Rfam family "Bacterial small subunit ribosomal RNA", at positions 524 to 776 of the family's 1533-position model. The record is from RNAcentral.